This is a long non-coding RNA of Epinephelus moara (kelp grouper), 858 nucleotides long. RefSeq lists it as uncharacterized. The transcript is spliced from 3 exons. NCBI's taxonomy places the organism in Eukaryota, Metazoa, Chordata, Actinopteri, Perciformes, Serranidae. The record is from RefSeq and is a predicted model, not a curated record.
CUCUCAUCCAUGAAGACCUGACCAGAGGAAUCCUGACACUGACACUCUCUUCAGUAAAGCUGUCUGACAGUGGACCAUACAAGGUCUACGUCCCAAAACUGGAUGCCGGUUGUGUCAUUGACCUCAGUGUUGUAACCAAAGAUCAAGAGAACGUAGCUCCUGUAGAUGAGCCUCUGUGGAAAAUUGUCUUCCAUGUCUGCGGUUGUGUCACUGUUAUCGUUCUUGCCACUUUUCUUAUCCUGUUGAAGUCUAAAAGGAUCUUUUCUUAAGAAGAAGACGCCCAGAGGAGUGAAGGGGCCAGAAGAUGAGACAAUGAUGCAAAAGACACAAGCAACAGAUGAGGAUGAAGACCCACACAGCGCUGCAGUGAAUGGCCUGAGAGAGGUGGUGGUCUGAGACGAUAACCACUCAUCCUGACAACAUUAGAAAACCUUCCAUACUUCUUCACCUGAAGCAAAGCCUUUUCCUCCACAACAGUAAAGUUGAUUUUAUAUAUGUAGCCCAGUAUCACAAAUCUGCCUCGAGGAAGGGAUUUUGGUAGUGUAUCAGGAGAAAGGGUUAAGCUGAGCAGUUACAGUAGGUUUUUUAAUAGUGCCGUAUUUUUUUAAUUUUUUUUAUGUAAGACGGCAACCUGCAGUGUAUCAGCGACGCAGGAAACCUGAUCAAGAAUACUGCUUUAUUUGCACAGUUUGAUGUUUGAUAUGUUUGUAGUGUUCUUUGCUCCGUCUGCCCACACUGGCUCUAAAAUCACAGGUAGCAUAUAUCGAUAGUUCUUGUUAUUGAUCAAGAUGACGUUUAUGAAUUUCCUUCAAGCCUUACAAUAAUAUUAUCACUUUGGAUUAUGUUUUAAUGUUUGGU